UUCCCUGUUGGUCCAGUGGUUAAGACUCUGCACUUAUACUGCAGGGGCCACAGGUUUGAUCCCUGGUCAGGGAAG
Non-coding RNA from Bubalus bubalis (water buffalo), 75 nucleotides. NCBI's taxonomy places the organism in Eukaryota, Metazoa, Chordata, Mammalia, Artiodactyla, Bovidae. The record is from the annotation of a RefSeq genome assembly.